Molecule: ribosomal RNA, 253 nt
Filed under: uncultured bacterium
Lineage: Bacteria
Description: partial 16S ribosomal RNA
Rfam family: Bacterial small subunit ribosomal RNA
Source: RNAcentral
UACGUAGGGGGCGAGCGUUGUCCGGAUCUAUUGGGCGUAAAGAGCGUGUAGGCGGCCAGGUAGGUCUGCUGUGAAAACUCGAGGCUCAACCUCGAGACGUCGGCGGAAACCAUCUGGCUAGAGUCCGGAAGAGGAGAGUGGAAUUCCUGGUGUAGCGGUGAAAUGCGCAGAUAUCAGGAAGAACACCCGUGGCGAAGGCGGCUCUCUGGGACGGUACUGACGCUGAGACGCGAAAGCGUGGGGAGCGAACAGG